AGGUGCUUGCAUCUUGAUUUAGAUUUUGAACGAGUGGCGGACGGGUGAGUAACACGUGGGUAACCUGCCCUUAAGUGGGGGAUAACAUUUGGAAACAGAUGCUAAUACCGCAUAAAUCCAAGAACCGCAUGGUUCUUGGCUGAAAGAUGGCGUAAGCUAUCGCUUUUGGAUGGACCCGCGGCGUAUUAGCUAGUUGGUGAGGUAACGGCUCACCAAGGCAAUGAUACGUAGCCGAACUGAGAGGUUGAUCGGCCACAUUGGGACUGAGACACGGCCCAAACUCCUACGGGAGGCAGCAGUAGGGAAUCUUCCACAAUGGACGCAAGUCUGAUGGAGCAACGCCGCGUGAGUGAAGAAGGCUUUCGGGUCGUAAAACUCUGUUGUUGGAGAAGAAUGGUCGGCAGAGUAACUGUUGUCGGCGUGACGGUAUCCAACCAGAAAGCCACGGCUAACUACGUGCCAGCAGCCGCGGUAAUACGUAGGUGGCAAGCGUUAUCCGGAUUUAUUGGGCGUAAAGCGAGCGCAGGCGGUUUUUUAAGUCUGAUGUGAAAGCCCUCGGCUUAACCGAGGAAGUGCAUCGGAAACUGGGAAACUUGAGUGCAGAAGAGGACAGUGGAACUCCAUGUGUAGCGGUGAAAUGCGUAGAUAUAUGGAAGAACACCAGUGGCGAAGGCGGCUGUCUGGUCUGUAACUGACGCUGAGGCUCGAAAGCAUGGGUAGCGAACAGGAUUAGAUACCCUGGUAGUCCAU
This 750-nucleotide ribosomal RNA is filed under the name Lacticaseibacillus rhamnosus. Its description in RNAcentral is "bacterial SSU rRNA". It matches the Rfam family "Bacterial small subunit ribosomal RNA", at positions 64 to 798 of the family's 1533-position model. Lineage: Bacteria; Bacillati; Bacillota; Bacilli; Lactobacillales; Lactobacillaceae. The record is from RNAcentral.